GACGACGCUGGCGGCGUGCUUAACACAUGCAAGUCGAACGGUAAGGCCCUUCGGGGUACACGAGUGGCGAACGGGUGAGUAACACGUGAGUAACCUGCCCUUGACUCUGGGAUAACAGUUGGAAACAGCUGCUAAUACCGGAUACGAACUUGGAAGGCAUCUUCCGAGUUGGAAAGCUCCGGCGGUCAAGGAUGGACUCGCGGCCUAUCAGCUUGUUGGUGAGGUAACGGCUCACCAAGGCUUCGACGGGUAGCCGGCCUGAGAGGGCGACCGGCCACACUGGGACUGAGAUACGGCCCAGACUCCUACGGGAGGCAGCAGUGGGGAAUAUUGCACAAUGGGCGAAAGCCUGAUGCAGCAACGCCGCGUGCGGGAUGACGGCCUUCGGGUUGUAAACCGCUUUCAGCAGGGACGAAGCGAAAGUGACGGUACCUGCAGAAGAAGCACCGGCCAACUACGUG
This 461-nucleotide ribosomal RNA is filed under the name uncultured bacterium. RNAcentral describes it as "bacterial SSU rRNA". It matches the Rfam family "Bacterial small subunit ribosomal RNA", at positions 33 to 507 of the family's 1533-position model. The record is from RNAcentral.